This 448-nucleotide ribosomal RNA is filed under the name uncultured bacterium. Its description in RNAcentral is "bacterial SSU rRNA". It matches the Rfam family "Bacterial small subunit ribosomal RNA", at positions 355 to 825 of the family's 1533-position model. The record is from RNAcentral.
UGGGGAAUCUUGCGCAAUGGGCGAAAGCCUGACGCAGCCAUGCCGCGUGAAUGAUGAAGGUCUUAGGAUUGUAAAAUUCUUUUCACCGGGGACGAUAAUGACGGUACCCGGAGAAGAAGCCCCGGCUAACUUCGUGCCAGCAGCCGCGGUAAUACGAAGGGGGCUAGCGUUGCUCGGAAUUACUGGGCGUAAAGGGCGCGUAGGCGGACAUUUAAGUCAGGGGUGAAAUCCCAGAGCUCAACUCUGGAACUGCCUUUGAUACUGGGUGUCUUGAGUGUGAGAGAGGUAUGUGGAACUCCGAGUGUAGAGGUGAAAUUCGUAGAUAUUCGGAAGAACACCAGUGGCGAAGGCGACAUACUGGCUCAUUACUGACGCUGAGGCUCGAAAGCGUGGGGAGCAAACAGGAUUAGAUACCCGCGUAGUCCCUGAGCGGGCUGGCAAGGCGCAU